This 497-nucleotide ribosomal RNA is filed under the name uncultured bacterium. RNAcentral describes it as "partial 16S ribosomal RNA". It matches the Rfam family "Bacterial small subunit ribosomal RNA", at positions 28 to 507 of the family's 1533-position model. The record is from RNAcentral.
GAUGAACGCUGGCGGCGUGCCUAAUACAUGCAAGUCGAGCGAACGGACGAGAAGCUUGCUUCUCUGAUGUUAGCGGCGGACGGGUGUGUAACACGUGGAUAACCUCCCUAUCAGACUGGGAUAACUUCGGGAAACCGGAGCUAAUACCGGAUAAUAUUUUGAACCGCAUGGUUCAAAAGUGAAAGACGGUCUUGCUGUCACUUAUAGAUGGAUCCGCGCUGCAUUAGCUAGUUGGUACGGUAACGGCUUACCAAGGCAACGAUGCAUAGCCGACCUGAGAGGGGGAUCGGCCACACGGGAACGGAGACACGGUCCAGACUCCUACGGGAGGCAGCAGUAGGGAAUCUUCCGCAAUGGGCGAAAGCCUGACGGAGCAACGCCGCGUGAGUGAUGAAGGUCUUCGGAGUGUAAAACUCUGUUAUGAGGGAAGAACAGAUGUGGAAGUAACUGUGCACAGCUUGACGGUACCUAAUCAGAAAGCCACGGCUAACUACGUG